UCCUUGUAAGUUUUUUUUCCUCCGCUUAUUGAUAUGCUUAAACGGAGGAAAAGAAACUUACAAGGAUUCCCUUAGUAACGGUGAGAGAACCGGGAACAACCCAGCCUUAGAAUCAGGUGGCUCCGUCAUCCGAAUUAUAGUUUGGAGAAGCGUCCUCAGCGACGGACCUGGCCCAAGUCCCCUAGAAGGGGGCGCCAGAGAGGGUGAGAGACCCAUUAUGCCCGGACCCUGUCGCACCACGAGGUACUGUCUACGAGUUGGGUUGUUUGGGAAUGCAGUCCAGAUCGGGCGGUGAAUUUCGUCCAAGGACAAAUACGGGCAACAGGCCGAUAACGAACAAGUACCGUGAGGGAAAGAUGAAAAGGACUUUGAAAAGAGAGUCAAAGAGUGCUUGAAAUUAUUGGGAGAGAAGCGGAUGGGGGUUGCCGAUGUGCCCGGUCGGAUGUCGAAUGGCGAUGAGUCGGUCCGCCGAUCGACUCGGGGCAUGGACCAGCAUUGAUUGGGGGGCGGGAAAAUCCUGGACUCUCAAUACACUUGUGGAAUGCUGUCUCAUCGAUUGUGGUAGGCAGCACGCGGCUCCAACAUGCUUCACCAUCUGCGCGAUAUGGACGCUGUCCUGUUGGCUCCCCAUUUGACCCGUCUUCAAAAAUGGACCAAGGAGUCUGACAUGUGUGCGAGUCAACGGGCGAGUAAACCUGUAAGGCAUAAGGAAGCUGAUUGGUGGUAUCCCUCCGAGGGGUGCACCGCCGACCGACCUUGAUCUUCUGAGAAGGGUUAGAGUAUGAGCAUACCUGUCGGGACUCGAAAAAUGGUGAACUAUGCCUGAGCGGCGCGAAGCUAGAGAAAACUCUGGUGGAGGCCCGCAGUGAUACUGACGUUCAAAUCAUUCGCCUGACUUGGGUGUAGGGCCCACGGUUGAUUUAUCAAGCCAUGCCACGGAAUCAAGAGCUCCAAGUGGGAUAUUUUUUAUAAGCAGAACUGGCGAUGUGGGAUGAACCAGAAGCCGGGUUAUGGUGCCCAAUUGCACGUUAACCUAGAUCCCACAAAGGGUGUUGGUUGAUUAAGACAGCAGGACGGUGGUCAUGGAAGUCAAAAUCCGCUAAGGAGUGUGUAACAACUCACCUGCCGAAUAAACUAGCCCCGAAAAUGGAUGGCACUUAAGCGCACGACCUACACCCGGCCAUCGGAGAAAUUUCCUGGCCUCGAUGAGUAGGAGGGCGCGGCGGUCCCUCCAAAACCUUGGGCGCGAGCCUGGGAAGAGCCGCCUUCGGUGCAAAUAUUGGGGGUAGUAGCAAAUAUUCAAACGACAACUUUGAAGGCCAAAGAGGGGAAAGGUUACAUGUGAACGGUACUUGCACAUGGAUUAGUCGAUCCUAAUGGUCGGGGGAACCCCGACAGAUAGCUCAUUUCGUGCGUACUUCAUAAGGAAAUCGGGUUAAAAUUCCUGGACCGGGAUGUGGUGGUCAACGGCAAUGUUAGGAAGUCGAGAGACGUCGGGAAGAGUUAUCUUUUCUAUUUAACAACCUGCCCACCCUGGAAUCGACUCAGUCGGAGAUAGGGUCCAGCGGCUGCAAGAGCAUCGUAUGUCGCAUGGUUUCAGGUGCACUACCGGCGGACCUUGAAAAUUAAGAGGACCAAAUGCCGUCCACACUCUGUCGUACUCAUAACCACAUCAGAUCUCCAAGGGGAACAACCUAUGGUCGAUGGAACAAUGUAGGAAAGGGAAGUCGGCAAAAUGGAUCCGUAACUUCUGGAAAAGGAUUGGCACUGAGGGCUGGGCAGUCCCAAACCCACCAGCUAUUGGUGGACUACUCGAGCUGCUCCUUCGGGGGCCUUCCCCGCGUGUCAAAAAACCAACUCAGAACUGGUACAGACAAGGGGAAUCCAACUAUUUAUUUAAAACAAAGCAUUGCGAUAGUCCCAAAUAAUGUUCACGCAUUGUGAUUUCUUCUUAGUGCUCUGAAUGUCAAAGUAAAGAAAUUCAACCAAGCGCGGGUAAACGGUGGGAGUAACUAUGACUCUCUUAAGGUAGCCAAAUUCCUCAUCAUCUAAUUAGUGAUGCGCAUGAAUGGAUUAACGAGAUUCCCACUAUCCCUGUCUACUAUCCAGAAAAACCACAGCCAAGGGAACGGGCUUGGCCGAAUCAGCGGGGAAAGAAUACCCUCUUAAGCUGGACUCUACUCUGGGGUUGUGAAAUGACUUAAGAGGUGUAGUAUAAGUGGGAGCCGAAAGGCGAAAGUGAAAUACCACUACUUUCAACGUUAUUUUACUUAUUCCGUGAAUUGGAAGCGGGGCACUGCCCCUAUUUUUGGACCCAAGGCUCGCUCUGCAGGCUGAUCCGAGUGGAAGACAUUGUCAGGUGGGGAGUUUGGCUGGGGCGGCACAUCUGUUAAAAGAUAACGUAGGUGUCCUAAGAUGAGCUCAACAAGAAUAGAAAUAUCGUGUGGAACAGAAGGGUAAAAGCUCGUUUGAUUCUGAUUUCCUGUACAAAUACAAACCAUGAAAGCGUGGCCUAACGAUUCUUUAGACCAUAAAAAUUUGAAGCUAGAGGUGUCAGAAAAUUGUUACCACAGGGAUAACUGGCCUGUUCCUGCCAAACGUUCAUAGCGACAUUACUUUUUCAUCCUUCAAUGUCGGCUCUUCCUAUCAUUAUAAAGCAGAAUUCACCAAGUGUUGGACUGUUUACCCACCAAUAGGGAACGUGAGCUGGGUUUAGACCAUCGUGAGAUAGGUUAGUUUUACCCUACUUAUGAUAGUGUCGCAGUAGUAAUUCAACCUAGUACGAGAGGAAACAUUGAUUCACAUAAUUUAUCAUCGCACUUGCUUGAAAACCCAAUGGCUUAAAGCUACCGUGUGCAUGAUUAUGACUGAACGCCUCUAAGUCAGAAUCCGAGCUAGAAGCGAUGCAUGCGCCCAUUGUCCGCUUGCCGACCCGCAGUAGGGGCCUCGACCCCCAAGGGCACCUAUCAUUUGCUAAGCCACCGCGGUAGAAGAGUCGUGGUGUCCGCCUUGAAGUAUAAUUUCCAUCGAGCGGUAGGUAGAAUCGUUUAUUGAUGACUUAAAUAUGCGACAGGGUAUUGUAAGUGGAAGAGUGGCCUUGCUGCCACGAUC
RNAcentral lists this ribosomal RNA (3111 nucleotides) under Capsicum chinense (habanero). Its description in RNAcentral is "eukaryotic LSU rRNA". It matches the Rfam family "Eukaryotic large subunit ribosomal RNA". Lineage: Eukaryota; Viridiplantae; Streptophyta; Magnoliopsida; Solanales; Solanaceae. The record is from RNAcentral.